AUGAGUGGGGUGAUGUGCCUUAAAGCAUCAGACACUUGGGCCUCGGGCAUCAGGAGCCAGCCACAGGGAUGUCUGGGGAAAUGGCGUUCCAUGAGAUGCAAGCACACAAGAAUGCACUUGGCACAUCUGGGGAACAGCAGGCAGCUGAUAUCACUGGGCCCACCCCGCACCAGGGAGGAUGGAAGCAGGUCAGAUUAUCCUUGUAGAGGCCCCCUGGAUGGCACCAAGAUCGGCCCUGGCAAGCAGGUGACCCUGACUUCAGAGCCCUUGCCUGAGGGCCUGGCCUGGCAGCUCUGCUGUUAGAAGCAGGAGGUGUGCAGGGGGUGGGGAGCAGCCCAGCCUCUGUGAUCUUCUCCAUGGCAGGAUCUCCCAGCAGGUAGAGCAGAGCCGGAGCCAGGUGCAGGCCAUUGGAGAGAAGGUCUCCUUGGCCCAGGCCAAGAUUGAGAAGAUCAAGGGCAGCAAGAAGGCCAUCAAGGUGUUCUCCAGUGCCAAGUACCCUGCUCCAGAGCGCCUGCAGGAAUAUGGCUCCAUCUUCACGGGCGCCCAGGACCCUGGCCUGCAGAGACGCCCCCGCCACAGGAUCCAGAGCAAGCACCGCCCCCUGGACGAGCGGGCCCUGCAGGAGAAGCUGAAGGACUUUCCUGUGUGCGUGAGCACCAAGCCGGAGCCCGAGGACGAUGCAGAAGAGGGACUUGGGGGUCUUCCCAGCAACAUCAGCUCUGUCAGCUCCUUGCUGCUUUUCAACACCACCGAGAACCUGUAUGGCCAGAAGGCAGGGCCGAGGGGUGUGGGCGGGAGGCCCGGCCUGGCUUAGUGGGGACCCAGGGCAUCAGACACAGGUACAGCACAUAGGCCAGGAGCCAGGGGGUGACUGGGGUGGCUCGGCUCGGGAGGCCUGGGACCCCACAGUGCACGCUGUGCCCCUGAUGAUGUGGGAGAGGAACAUGGGCUCAGGACAGCGGGUGUCAGCUUGCCUGACCCCCAUGUCGCCUCCGUAGGUACAAGAAGUAUGUCUUCCUGGACCCCCUGGCUGGUGCUGUAACAAAGACCCAUGUGAUGCUGGGGGCAGAGACAGAGGAGAAGCUGUUUGAUGCCCCCUUGUCCAUCAGCAAGAGAGAGCAGCUGGAACAGCAGGUCCCAGAGAACUACUUCUAUGUGCCAGACCUGGGCCAGGUGCCUGAGAUUGAUGUUCCAUCCUACCUGCCUGACCUGCCCAGCAUUGCCAACGACCUCAUGUACAGUGCCGACCUGGGCCCCGGCAUUGCCCCCUCUGCCCCUGGCACCAUUCCGGAACUGCCCACCUUCCACACUGAGGUAGCCGAGCCUCUCAAGACCUACAAGAUGGGGUACUAACACCACCCCCACCGCCCCCACCACCACCCCCAGCUCCUGAGGUGCUGGCCAGUGCACCCCCACUCCCACCCUCAACCGCGGCCCCUGUAGGCCAAGGCGCCAGGCAGGACGACGGCAGCAGCAGCGCGUCUCCUUCAGUCCAGGGAGCUCCCAGGGAAGUGGUCGACCCCUCCGGUGGCUGGGCCACUCUGCUAGAGUCCAUCCGCCAAGCUGGGGGCAUCGGCAAGGCCAAGCUGCGCAGCAUGAAGGAGCGAAAGCUGGAGAAGAAGAAGCAGAAGGAGCAGGAGCAAGUGAGAGCCACGAGCCAAGGUGGGCACUUGAUGUCGGAUCUCUUCAACAAGCUGGUCAUGAGGCGCAAGGGCAUCUCUGGGAAAGGACCUGGGGCUGGUGAGGGGCCCGGAGGAGCCUUUGCCCGCGUGUCAGACUCCAUCCCUCCUGUGCCCCCACCGCAACAGCCACAGGCAGAGGAGGACGAGGACGACUGGGAAUCCUAGGGGGCUCCAUGACACCUUCCCCCCCAGACCCAGACUUGGGCUGUUGCUCUGACAUGGACACAGCCAGGACAAGCUGCUCAGACCUGCUUCCCUGGGAGGGGGUGACGGAACCAGCACUGUGUGGAGACCAGCUUCAAGGAGCGGAAGGCUGGCUUGAGGCCACACAGCUGGGGCGGGGACUUCUGUCUGCCUGUGCUCCAUGGGGGGACGGCUCCACCCAGCCUGCGCCACUGUGUUCUUAAGAGGCUUCCAGAGAAAACGGCACACCAAUCAAUAAAGAACUGAGCAGAAA
RNAcentral lists this long non-coding RNA (2139 nucleotides) under Homo sapiens (human). Its description in RNAcentral is "LHRI_LNC1686.8". The record is from RNAcentral. Lineage: Eukaryota; Metazoa; Chordata; Mammalia; Primates; Hominidae.